GAAUCUUGGGAAUGGGCGAAAGCCUGACCCAGCAACGCCGCGUGGGCGAUGAAGGCCUUCGGGUCGUAAAGCCCUUUUGUGGGGGAAGAUGAUGACGGUACCCCACGAAUAAGCCACGGCUAACUACGUGCCAGCAGCCGCGGUAAUACGUAGGUGGCGAGCGUUGUCCGGAUUUACUGGGCGUAAAGGGCGUGCAGGCGGUUCGUUAAGUUCGAGGUGAAAGCUCCCGGCUCAACUGGGAGAGGUCCCCGGAUACUGGCGGACUUGAGGGAGGCAGAGGAAAGUGGAAUUCCCGGUGUAGUGGUGAUAUGCGUAGAUAUCUGAAGGAACACCAGUGGCGAAGGCGACACCCUGGACCAAUACUGACGCUGAGGUGCGAAAGCGUGGGGAGCAAACAGG
RNAcentral lists this ribosomal RNA (399 nucleotides) under uncultured bacterium. RNAcentral describes it as "bacterial SSU rRNA". It matches the Rfam family "Bacterial small subunit ribosomal RNA", at positions 359 to 776 of the family's 1533-position model. The record is from RNAcentral.